This 502-nucleotide ribosomal RNA is filed under the name uncultured marine eukaryote. Its description in RNAcentral is "SSU rRNA". It matches the Rfam family "Eukaryotic small subunit ribosomal RNA", at positions 621 to 1126 of the family's 1831-position model. The record is from RNAcentral.
AAAAAGCUCGUAGUUGGAUUUCUGUUGAGGAUGACCGUUCCGCUCUUUGAGCGCGUAUCUGGUUCAGCCUUGGCAUCCUCUUGGGGAACGCUACUGUGCUUGAUUGCAUGGGGCGGUAUUCAAGACUUUUACUUUGAGGAAAUUAGAGUGUUCACUGCAAGCGUUAGCAAUUGAAUACAUUAGCAUGGAAUAAUAAUAUAGGACCUUGGUACUAUUUUGUUGGUUUCUAGAACUAAGGUAAUGAUUAAUAGGGACAAUUGGGGGCAUUCGUAUUAACGCGUCAGAGGUGGAAUUCUUAGAUUGCGUUACGACGAACUACUGCGAAAGCAUUUGCCAAGGAUGUUUUCAUUGAUCAAGAACGAAAGUAUGGGGAUCGAAGACGCUUAGAUACCGUCGUAGUCUAUACCAUAAACUAUGCCAACUAGAGAUUGGAGGUCGUUCUCUUUAUGACUCCUUCAGCACCUUAUGAGAAAUCAAAGUCUUUGGGUUCCGGGGGGAGUAU